Molecule: long non-coding RNA, 205 nt
Filed under: Elaeis guineensis (African oil palm)
Lineage: Eukaryota; Viridiplantae; Streptophyta; Magnoliopsida; Arecales; Arecaceae
Description: long non-coding RNA (EGUI_LNC061304)
Source: RNAcentral
GGGUGGUUUAUUAAUCUUUGUUGACUCCUUAGACUUAUUUGGAUUUUUAAACUCGAUCUGAUCGGUUACUUGCUUAUUAUGUGAUUUAGACAAUGGGUCAUCUUGAUCUUCAGGUGUACCGACAUGAUUGUCUACUUGUUUUCUAGACCCUAAAGUGUGAAUUAUAUUUAAUUGGUUGAUCUGGGCUCCUUGUUGUGGUCUUUGA